AUGGAUCAGAAGAUUCCACUUAUGUUGUGUCCAAGCAGGAAAGAAUGGAUAAAAAGUUUGGGGUGCGCAUUGAAGAGCAAGGAGGUCUUUUGCAUAGGGUGGACUAUGAAUGCAAAAUGUGCAUACGCACCUACCAGAAAAAACCAGAUGUAUGACUAUUCGGUAAGCCUGCAGAGGUACCGCGAGUUGCGGAAUUGUAGUCACACCGCAAGUUUCCAGGCAUGCCACUCUGAUGAGGACUAUCACCGUCUAAAGAUGCUUUUGCAAGCACAACAUCAUGGCAAGCAAUCAAGUUUUGAACAAGCUGACAGCAAGGAGUCAACUAAUGCUCAGCAUAACAGCAUUAGGUUUGGCCCGUUGAUGCCGCACUCGCACCAAGUUGAUAAGGUUCUGGAUCUCGUGCAUGUGCCAGGACGAGGUGCACCGAAGAAAAGGCUGCAGGCAAAGACAAAGAAGUCAAGAUCACAGAAUAUUUGUGGCUAUUGCAAGAAACCAGGUCACAAUCGACGUAAAUGCGCUAAAUUGCUAGAGGAUCUCGAGGCUGAACUGUGA
RNAcentral lists this ribosomal RNA (552 nucleotides) under Triticum aestivum (bread wheat). Its description in RNAcentral is "partial small subunit ribosomal RNA". The record is from RNAcentral. Lineage: Eukaryota; Viridiplantae; Streptophyta; Magnoliopsida; Poales; Poaceae.